AGCAGUACUACGUCGAGGAAUAUCUCUACGAACGCUGCCUGUCCGAGCCCGCGGUCGAGAUGCGCUUCCGCAACAAGGUCGUCGGCGUCACGCCGCACGCCGACCACGUCGCGGUCGAGGUCGAGACACCGGAUGGCCGCUACACGCUCGAGGCCGAGUGGCUGGUCGCUUGCGACGGCGUGCGCAGCCCCGUGCGCCACAUGCUCGGCCUGCCGUUCGAGGGCGAGGUCUUCCACGACCAGUUCCUGAUCGCCGACAUCCGCCUGCUCGACGACCUGCCCAAGGAGCGGCGCUUCUGGUUCUAUCCACCGUUCCAUCCCACCAACUCGGUGCUGCUGCACCGCCAGGCCGACAACGUGCUGCGCGUCGACUUCCAGCUCGGCCGCGACGCCGACGCCGAAGAGGAGAAGAAGACCGAGAGCGUCGACCGCCGGCUGCGCCUGAUGUUCGGGCCCGAGGCGCGCUGGGAGCACGAAUGGACCAGCGUCUACACCUUCACCUGCCGCAUGCUGCAGCGCUUCGUCCAUGGCCGCGUGAUCUUCGCCGGCGAUUCGGCCCACGUCGUCUCGCCGUUCGGCGCGCGCGGCGGCAAUGGCGCAAUCGCCGAUGUCGACAACCUCGCCUGGAAGCUCGCCCUGGUGGUGGCCGGCAAGGCGCCGGAGGCGCUGCUCGACAGCUACUGCGGCGAGCGCCGCGCAGCGGCGCGCGAGAACAUCCUCAAUUCCACGCGCAGCACCGAUUUCAUCACGC
Molecule: unclassified non-coding RNA, 750 nt
Filed under: uncultured fungus
Lineage: Eukaryota; Fungi
Description: sequence contains 18S rRNA gene, ITS1, 5.8S rRNA gene, ITS2, 28S rRNA gene
Source: RNAcentral